This is a long non-coding RNA of Oreochromis niloticus (Nile tilapia), 1026 nucleotides long. RefSeq lists it as uncharacterized. NCBI's taxonomy places the organism in Eukaryota, Metazoa, Chordata, Actinopteri, Cichliformes, Cichlidae. The record is from RefSeq and is a predicted model, not a curated record. The transcript has 2 exons.
UUCUGUGAUCGCCCUUGUAUACAAGUAAAUGCUGCAGCGUCUGUGUGUGUUUCUACCCUUAGACUCUUAGCUGAAGAAGUGUCUUUAGAAUAAAUCUCUUGACAUUUAUUUUGGUCCUUCGAGAGCCGGAUCAGAAAUAUCAGAACUGUUAUCUGUGACUCUGUUCCAGGAUCUGGCAUACUGUUUCCUGACGCCGUGGAGCCAGCACCGAAGACUGUGCACAGCCCUCUUAGACGAGGAGGACCCGGGACGUUUGAGUCCGGGCCGGUCUGGUCCACGGCGGUGGGAUUCAGUCUGACGAUCCGGAUCACCAGUGAGACGUCUGAGGGUGAGAAACACUAUUUUGGUUAGGAAUCGCCGUAAUGAACCGACAAAUAAAAUAGGUUAGGAAUCGCCGUAAGGAACCGAAUUAGACCUAGGUUUUAGAGGUAGCCGUAAUUACUUCGUAACAAAUUGUAAAAGCGCGCAAAUGUCUAUGUGUGUGUAUGUGUCUGGAAGUAAGUUGAUUUUACAGCACAAUACGCUGCUGAACUACUUCUAUUUUUGUUUUUUGCUGAGGCUCAAGUACUGGUGACAAAGGAGACGGUUGAGUUUCAUCUCGUAAAACUGAUACCGCUUCAUUUUUUAGAAGUGAAGUCGAAGGGCGUAUCAGUAAACCACUCUGAAGUCAAGCGUGCCAGUGACGGCCCAGCAAAAUCUUUGAACAUGGAGAAUAAACAAGCAAAAUUAACACCUGAUGAGGAAUGUUUAGAAAAACAACAAACCGGAGCAGGAGUAAUCCAAAAGAAAGGGAGAGGAAUGCACAGGGCAGGAGCAAGAGGUAGAGGCAGGCCUAGACACACACCAAGCAGUGGUUUUAGUACUACAUGCUGGAGGUGUGGAAAAGAGGGACAUUUUGUACGUGACUGUAAGAAACAAAGAAGCAGUUCAGACUAGGAAGAAUAUAAUAAUCCCUCGUCAAGUAAAAGAUUAGAGAUCAAAGUUUAAAAAGGGCUGGAUACAGACCCAACUGAAUACAUAUAAAUA